GAACUGAAGAGUUUGAUCAUGGCUCAGAUUGAACGCUGGCGGCAGGCCUAACACAUGCAAGUCGAGCGGAUGAAGGGAGCUUGCUCCUGGAUUCAGCGGCGGACGGGUGAGUAAUGCCUAGGAAUCUGCCUGGUAGUGGGGGAUAACGUCCGGAAACGGGCGCUAAUACCGCAUACGUCCUGAGGGGGAAAGUGGGGGAUCUUCGGACCUCACGCUAUCAGAUGAGCCUAGGUCGGAUUAGCUAGUUGGUGGGGUAAAGGCCUACCAAGGCGACGAUCCGUAACUGGUCUGAGAGGAUGAUCAGUCACACUGGA
Molecule: ribosomal RNA, 314 nt
Filed under: Pseudomonas aeruginosa
Lineage: Bacteria; Pseudomonadati; Pseudomonadota; Gammaproteobacteria; Pseudomonadales; Pseudomonadaceae
Description: bacterial SSU rRNA
Rfam family: Bacterial small subunit ribosomal RNA
Source: RNAcentral